Cygnus olor (mute swan) is the source of this 758-nucleotide long non-coding RNA. RefSeq lists it as uncharacterized. The record is from RefSeq and is a predicted model, not a curated record. The transcript is spliced from 3 exons. Lineage: Eukaryota; Metazoa; Chordata; Aves; Anseriformes; Anatidae.
AAGUAGGUGACUCAUGAAGUGGGUAAGAGGUCCGGGAUCAGGGCAGGGGUGCUGGGUAAACAAAGGAGCUGUGGCAGAACUUGAGGAAUCCAGGCAGGGGGCUGAACAGACACAGGAACUGCGCAAGCCCUCUAUUACAGAAGGCUUCAGGACAUUUUGUAAGAAAGACAUUUUUUCCUUCAAAUACUGAAUGAAAUAGAUGGAAGAGAACAAAGAAGACAUAUUACACUUGCUGCAGAAGGCUUAAAAAAUGAACAACAGUCUGCGGAAUUAAUAUCUAUUCAAUUUCUAAUGCCCCUGUGAUGUUCUCAUCCCCAGUUUGGGACAGUGUCCAGGAAGAAAUAAUACAGCUUCUCUCCCGUGAUGAAUCAAGAAAAGAAGAGUUGCAAAGUAUAAACUGUAAAUGCAUGAAGGCACAUACAUAGAAAACAUUAGGAAAUAGUUUCUUUCUUUCUUUAAACUUCUUUAAAUGUAUUUGAGUGAACUGUUUAACAUCAGCUUAUUUUUUCCUACAACUGUAUUUAUGGCUUGCUGUAUCUGAAAAGUUUCAUGUAUAGAAUACACAUAUUUAGUGAUAUAUUAGUAUAAGGAUAAUCUAUAGCAAUUUGAAGAUAGAAUUAAUUUUCAUUUGUAUGAUCUUUUGUGCAUUUGUAUUUGAAAAUAAAAAAUCUUUCCUUAUUUAGGCUUUUACUUCUGAUCAUAUUUCCUCUGAUCUUCAUAAAAGUAAGGGUUCUCUAGACAUAUUUUUCUAAUAAAUA